Molecule: non-coding RNA, 134 nt
Filed under: Actinoalloteichus hymeniacidonis
Lineage: Bacteria; Bacillati; Actinomycetota; Actinomycetes; Pseudonocardiales; Pseudonocardiaceae
Description: FMN sequence
Rfam family: FMN riboswitch aptamer (RFN element)
About the family: The RFN element is a highly conserved domain that is found frequently in the 5'-untranslated regions of prokaryotic mRNAs that encode for flavin mononucleotide (FMN) biosynthesis and transport proteins.
Source: RNAcentral
GUGCGCUGGCGGGGUCGGUGUAAUUCCGAACCGGCGGUGACAGUCCGCGACCCGCCGAGGGAGAACACAGCUCGGCGGUUGACCCGGUGAAACUCCGGGACCGACGGUGAAAGUCCGGAUGGUAGGCGGCGCAC